This 73-nucleotide transfer RNA is filed under the name Paramuricea clavata. It matches the Rfam family "tRNA". Rfam says of the family: Transfer RNA (tRNA) molecules are approximately 80 nucleotides in length. Their secondary structure includes four short double-helical elements and three loops (D, anti-codon, and T loops). Further hydrogen bonds mediate the characteristic L-shaped molecular structure. tRNAs have two regions of fundamental functional importance: the anti-codon, which is responsible for specific mRNA codon recognition, and the 3' end, to which the tRNAs corresponding amino acid is attached (by aminoacyl-tRNA synthetases). tRNAs cope with the degeneracy of the genetic code in two manners: having more than one tRNA (with a specific anti-codon) for a particular amino acid; and 'wobble' base-pairing, i.e. permitting non-standard base-pairing at the 3rd anti-codon position. Lineage: Eukaryota; Metazoa; Cnidaria; Anthozoa; Malacalcyonacea; Plexauridae. The record is from Rfam by way of RNAcentral.
GACCGCGUAGCUCAGUUGGCAGAGCAAUGGGCUAGUAUUCCAAAGGUCGUAGGUUCGAAUCCCACCGUGGCCA